UAAUACGGAGGGUGCAAGCGUUAUCCGGAUUCACUGGGUUUAAAGGGUGCGUAGGUGGGUAGGUAAGUCAGUGGUGAAAUCCCCGAGCUUAACUUGGGAACUGCCGUUGAUACUAUCUAUCUUGAAUAUCGUGGAGGUAAGCGGAAUAUGUCAUGUAGCGGUGAAAUGCUUAGAUAUGACAUAGAACACCCAUUGCGAAGGCAGCUUACUACACGAUCAUUGACACUGAGGCACGAAAGCGUGGGGAGCAAACAGGAUUAGAUACCCUGGUAGUCCACGCCCUAAACGAUGGAUACUCGACAUCAGCGAUACACUGUUGGUGUCUGAGCGAAAGCAUUAAGUAUCCCACCUGGGAAGUACGAUCGCAAGAUUG
Molecule: ribosomal RNA, 373 nt
Filed under: uncultured bacterium
Lineage: Bacteria
Description: bacterial SSU rRNA
Rfam family: Bacterial small subunit ribosomal RNA
Source: RNAcentral